AGAGUUUGAUCCUGGCUCAGGACGAACGCUGGCGGCGUGCUUAACACAUGCAAGUCUUAGGAGAACGGGAAUCUUCGGAAUCCCUAGUAAACUGGCGAAAGGGUGCGUAGCGCGUAGGUAACCUACCCUGCAGUGUGGAAUAACUUGGGGAAACCCUUGCUAAUACCGCAUGAUAUCCUGAAAACGCAUGUUUUCAGGAUCAAAGAACUUCGGUUCGCUACAGGAUGGGCUUGCGUCUUAUUAGCUUGUUGGUAGGGUAAUGGCCUACCAAGGCAACGAUGAGUAGCUGGUCUGAGAGGAUGAUCAGCCACACUGGCACUGAGACACGGGCCAGACUCCUACGGGAGGCAGCAGUGAGGAAUAUUGGGCAAUGGGCGAAAGCCUGACCCAGCAACGCCGCGUGGGUGAUGAAGCUCUGAGGAGUGUAAAACCCUGUUAGGAGGAAAGAAACUUCCGAUUUAUCGGAAUUGACGGUACCUCCAGAGAAAGCUCCGGCCAACUCCGUGCCAGCAGCCGCGGUAAUACGGGGGGAGCAAGCGUUGUCCGGAUUUACUGGGCGUAAAGAGCGUGUAGGCGGGACAAUAAGUCAGUUGUGAAAUCUCUCGGCUUAACCGAGAACGUGCGUCUGAUACUGUUGUCCUUGAGUUCGGAAGAGGGAAGUGGAAUUCCUGGUGUAGCGGUGAAAUGCGUAGAUAUCAGGAAGAACACCAGUAGCGAAGGCGGCUUCCUGGUCCGUAACUGACGCUGAGACGCGAAAGCGUGGGGAGCAAACAGGAUUAGAUACCCUGGUAGUCCACGCCGUAAACGAUGGGCACUAGGUGUUGGAGGAUUCGACCCCUUCAGUGCCGAAGCUAACGCAUUAAGUGCCCCGCCUGGGGAGUACGGUCGCAAGACUGAAACUCAAAGGAAUUGACGGGGGCCCGCACAAGCGGUGGAGCAUGUGGUUUAAUUCGAUGCAACGCGAAGAACCUUACCUGGGCUUGAACUGCAGCGGACAUUCCGAGAAAUCGGACUUCCUUCGGGACCGCUGUAGAGGUGCCGCAUGGCUGUCGUCAGCUCGUGUCGUGAGAUGUUGGGUUAAGUCCCGCAACGAGCGCAACCCUUGUCCUUAGUUGCCAUCAGAUAAUGCUGGGCACUCUAAGGAGACUGCCUCGGAUGACGGGGAGGAAGGUGGGGAUGACGUCAAGUCCUCAUGGCCCUUACGUCCAGGGCUACACACGUGCUACAAUGGUCGGUACAGUGGGAAGCAAUACCGCGAGGUGGAGCCAAUCCCUAAAACCGAUCUCAGUUCGGAUUGGAGUCUGCAACUCGACUCCAUGAAGUUGGAAUCGCUAGUAAUCACGGAUCAGCAGGCCGUGGUGAAUACGUUCCCGGGCCUUGUACACACCGCCCGUCACGCCAUGAAAGUUGGGAGUACCAGAAGCCGGUGGCCUAACCCCGAGCAAUCGGGGAGGGAACAGUCAAAGGUAAGACCGAUGAUUGGGGCGAAGUCGUAACAAGGUAACC
Molecule: ribosomal RNA, 1506 nt
Filed under: uncultured bacterium
Lineage: Bacteria
Description: bacterial SSU rRNA
Rfam family: Bacterial small subunit ribosomal RNA
Source: RNAcentral